Molecule: long non-coding RNA, 1305 nt
Organism: Cucumis melo (muskmelon)
Lineage: Eukaryota; Viridiplantae; Streptophyta; Magnoliopsida; Cucurbitales; Cucurbitaceae
Exons: 3
Source: RefSeq, a predicted model, not a curated record
AAAAUGGUGGGUUUUAGAAAAUUCCUUCCUUUUCAGUUACUCUUUUUCUUUGUCACUGAUUUUUUAAUCGAUUACUUUCUUCUUCUUCAACUUUUGCUUCUUCUCCUCCUCCAUGCUGCUGGCUUUUCUUGCCAUCACUCUUCUUCCUUCUUCUUUGCCUUCACCUUUUCAAGGCCUUCUAGGGCUUCUUUUCUUUUUUCUACAAAAAAACGUCUGAUGCAAUCAUUAAAUCUAUUUGUUUUUGUUUUAUUUAUUUUGAAGAAUUUGAAUGAGUUAAGUUUUAGAUGUGAUUUGAUGACAAAACCUGGGCUUUAUCUAUUUCAAAUGUCCUUCCUCAUUUUCCUAACCAAAAUCUCCAAAUCUCCAAAUCCAAAUCCUUCCCCACUAUUUUCUCACUGCUUGGAUAAAAUCACAGCCCCUGAUGUAAAUGCUUUUGCCAAGAACAUGGGAAAGACAGCUAUUACGUGGAAGUUAAAUUUCUGAUAACUACUUGCACAAAUUAAAAAAAGAAUCACAACUUUUCUAUAUGUAAAUUGGAGAUUUAUUCCUAGAAAAUUGGAUACCAUUGCCAUUUAACCAAACACUAUUUCCUUAUAUCCCAGGUAUCAUAUUCCCCGACAUUCUUAAUUCCCUGGCAUUUAUAAAACCUUAAAUCAAACGACCCCUAAUUUUUUCAUCUUAAUGAUUUUCUGUUUAACAUCCCCUUACCUAUUAGUGAUCUGGAUUCAUGGUUGAAGACACCUUCCAUUUACGUGUUCGACUGUUCUGCUGCUGGGAUGAUAGUCAAUGCCUUCACUGAGCUUCACGAUCCCUCUGGAUCAACGAGGGACUGCAUUUUGCUUGCAGCAUGUGAAUAACAUGAAACUCUUCCCCAAAGAGCUGAAUUUCCUGCAGAUGUUUUUACCUCUUGCCUUACAACACCAAUCAAGAUGGCCUUGAGAUGGUUAUUCGAGCUCGGUUGCUACAGUUCAGGAAGAGGAAUGUCAAGCCCUUGCUGCAUUUGGUGCCUGUUUCCAAUAUUAAUAAUUGUUUGAAGAAGCAUUUUCGAGACCUUUAAAAUGUCGUGAUCUUUGAAUUUAUAUAAUUCUGUUUGGUUGCAAUUAAUUUUACAAGCGUGUUUUCAUUGUUGGUGGAAUCAGACUUGAAUAAUAUUGGAUUUAUGUGCUUUAAGAUAUGAAUGGGAUUUAUUGUUGCUUUAAGAUAUGAAUGGGAUUUAUGUGCAAGUGCUAAUAGCAUUUUCAUUGUUGGUGGAAUCAGACUUGAAUAAUAUGGUUUCCUACGUAAUGUGACUUGUAGUUUCAAGUU